CAAUAUAGUGUUACAGAAAUGUCACUAGUUUAAAAACAAAUGCUUCAAACAAUCUAUAAAAUUUGUCAAGUAAUUUAAGAUUUUUUUUUUUUUUAGAUGGAAUCUCGCUCUGUUGCCCAGGCUGGAAUGUAGUACAGUGGUGUGAUCUCAGCUCACUGCAACCUCCGCCUCCUGAGUUCAAGUGAUUCUCCUGCCUCAGCCUCCCAAGUAGCUGGGAUUACAGCUACUGGAAGCUUUUUGAUGACAUUGUAAAUGUUCUGCAACUUUUGACAAAUCAUAUAUUCAUGCAAACACAACCACAAUCAAGGUAUAGAAUAGUUGUA
This 323-nucleotide long non-coding RNA is filed under the name Callithrix jacchus (white-tufted-ear marmoset). RNAcentral's name for it is "lncRNA (ENSCJAG00000085362.1)". The record is from RNAcentral. Lineage: Eukaryota; Metazoa; Chordata; Mammalia; Primates; Cebidae.